This 482-nucleotide ribosomal RNA is filed under the name uncultured bacterium. RNAcentral describes it as "bacterial SSU rRNA". It matches the Rfam family "Bacterial small subunit ribosomal RNA", at positions 903 to 1397 of the family's 1533-position model. The record is from RNAcentral.
AAAGGAAUAGACGGGGGCCCGCACAAGCAGCGGAGCGUGUGGUUUAAUUCGACGCAACGCGAAGAACCUUACCAGGACUUGACAUAGCAGUAGUAGGAACCCGAAAGGGUAACGACCUCGCAAGAGGAGCUGUUACAGGUGCUGCAUGGCUGUCGUCAGCUCGUGCCGUGAGGUGUUGGGUUAAGUCCCGCAACGAGCGCAACCCUCAUUGCUAGUUGCUUUAUCUAGCGAGACUGCCGAGACAAACUCGGAGGAAGGUGGGGAUGACGUCAAGUCAGCACGGCCCUUACGUCCUGGGCUACACACACGCUACAAUGGAUGGUACAGAGGGUAGCAAAGGGGUGACCUGGAGCCAAUCCCACAAAGCCAUCCCCAGUUCAGAUUGCAGGCUGCAACUCGCCUGCAUGAAGUCGGAGUUGCUAGUAACCGCAGGUCAGCACACUGCGGUGAAUAUGUUCCCGGGCCUUGUACACACCGCCCGU